GAGUGUAUAUCCACACCGGGCAAGCUUGAAAAAUAUGCCUAGUUGGUAUGCUAGUAUUCCAAAGGUCGUAGGUUUGAUUCCCACCAUGGCCAGGCAUAUUUUAAUAUUUUUCAAGCUUGCCCGGUGUGGAUAUAUACACUCAAGAGUCUU
This is a non-coding RNA of Paramuricea clavata, 150 nucleotides long. The record is from the annotation of a GenBank genome assembly. Lineage: Eukaryota; Metazoa; Cnidaria; Anthozoa; Malacalcyonacea; Plexauridae.